This 398-nucleotide ribosomal RNA is filed under the name uncultured bacterium. Its description in RNAcentral is "bacterial SSU rRNA". It matches the Rfam family "Bacterial small subunit ribosomal RNA", at positions 28 to 429 of the family's 1533-position model. The record is from RNAcentral.
GACGAACGCUGGCGGCGUGCUUUACACAUGCAAGUCGAACGGCAGCACGGGGGCAACCCUGGUGGCGAGUGGCGAACGGGUGAGUAACACAUCGGAACGUGCCCAGUUGUGGGGGAUAACCUAUCGAAAGGUAGGCUAAUACCGCAUGAGCUCGGCAAGAGGAAAGCGGGGGACUCAGCGAUGGGCCUCGCGCGACUGGAGCGGCCGAUGUCCGAUUAGCUAGUUGGUGGGGAAAGGCUUACCAAGGCGACGAUCGGUAGCUGGUCUGAGAGGAUGAUCAGCCACACUGGGACUGAGACACGGCCCAGACUCCUACGGGAGGCAGCAGUGGGGAAUUUGGACAAUGGGGGCAACCCUGAUCCAGCCAUGCCGCGUGAGUGAAGAAGGCCUGGUGUAAG